GACGAACGCUGGCGGCGUGCUUAACACAUGCAAGUCGAACGGUAAGGCCCUUCGGGGUACACGAGUGGCGAACGGGUGAGUAACACGUGGGUGAUCUGCCCUGCACUUCGGGAUAAGCCUGGGAAACUGGGUCUAAUACCGGAUAGGACCACUGCCUGCAUGGGUGGUGGUGGAAAGCUUUUGCGGUGUGGGUUGGGCCCGCGGCCUAUCAGCUUGUUGGUGGGGUGAUGGCCUACCAAGGCGACGACGGGUAGCCGGCCUGAGAGGGUGACCGGCGACACGGGGACUGAGAUACGGGCCAGACUCCGACGGGAGGCAGCAGUGGGGAAUAUUGCACAAUGGGCGCAAGCCUGAUGCAGCGACGCCGCGUGAGGGAUGACGGCCUUCGGGUUGUAAACCUCUUUCAGCACCGACGAAGCGCAAGUGACGGUAGGUGCAGAAGAAGGACCGGCCAACUACGUGCCAGCCGCCGCAGUAA
This 478-nucleotide ribosomal RNA is filed under the name uncultured bacterium. Its description in RNAcentral is "partial 16S ribosomal RNA". It matches the Rfam family "Bacterial small subunit ribosomal RNA", at positions 28 to 523 of the family's 1533-position model. The record is from RNAcentral.